Molecule: long non-coding RNA, 3065 nt
Filed under: Solanum lycopersicum (tomato)
Lineage: Eukaryota; Viridiplantae; Streptophyta; Magnoliopsida; Solanales; Solanaceae
Description: long non-coding RNA (SLYC_LNC000049)
Source: RNAcentral
GCCACCGCCCCUCUCUCCCUCUCUCCCUUCUCGCCCUCCCCCUAUCAAGCCGCCUCUGUCCGUCUCCUCCAUUUUUCCAGCGAGGGAGGCUGCCGGACAGAAGCACCAGCAGCAGCUGUCCCUCUCCCGCCUCUCUCUCCGCCUUUCGUUUCUUCUCCUCUUCUUCUUUAUCCCUCUCUCUGCCUCCCUCUCCCCUUCUCCCACCGCCUCUUCUUUCUCCUCUCCGUCCACCAGCCACCGGCGGAAAUCCAACAGAAGUGACUAGAGAAAAGAACAACAACAACUCCGACAAGCAUCUACGCCCAGCAGUCUCGCGCAACAGCAGCUUCAACCGGCGAACAGCGAGAAACCAGCGCACGCAGCAGCGCCUGUAGAGGCGCACGCCAGCAGCAACUCGAGAAAAACAGAAGCCGCUGGUGAAGGCAGCAACCAGCAGCCCACCAGCCGCCUCCCUCUCCCCUCUCCCGUCGCUCCCUCUUCUCUUCUUCCGCCUCCCUCUUCUCCUCUCUUCUCCUCUCUUCUCCCUCUCCCCAUAUCCUCUUCUUCUCCUUUUCUCCGAGCAGCAGCAGCAACCGCGGACAGCAGAAGCUCGUCGAGGACGGCAGUAGCAGCGCCAACAACUCCAACGCCCAGCGAACCUCCGACUGGCGAAAACUCCGCUACAGCGACUCCGCGUAGCGAGCAAAGCAGCAGCCGCCAGACGCCGCUGCUUCCUCCUUAGGCGAGCUUCGAAAUUCAACAAACCACUUGUAUAUUUUGGUGCAUUGCGCGGUUGGUUUUUUCUUUUAAAUUUCUUGAUUAACAUAUUUAUCCUUGAAGUGCAAUGCUCACUCAGAUUAUCUCUUCCUGUACAUGUUUUAGGCGGAUUUCAUGUUAAGUAUGAAUUCGUUCAUUUGUUUUGGCAUUAUUUAAGUAGCAUUAUGAUUUUGAUCCUAUCUUCCUUCAAGAUUAGUUUCUCCAUAUGGUGGCUGCCUUCUGUGAAUAUGCUAGUCUUAGUUGCUUGUGGCUGACUUUUGCAGUGAUUCGAUGAGAUUGGGCAUUAAUUGAGUAAUUUGCCAAAAAUUGUACUGGUUAUUUCUAUCGAUUAGUCCAAACCACCUUACUAUUUUUAUAAUUGAAUUAAUAGUUGAUGAUUAUUUGCUUUGCUAUUAGAAUAAGCUAGGUAGAUGUCCCAGAAAUAAAUAUGUGAAGAUAUGUAAUUGAUCCUUAACCUUUGCGUAAAUAUUUUUUUCCUUACCUGCUUUUAUAUUGCAUUAAUUGACUAUCCUUAAUUGUUUAUUUGCCUGUUUUAAUUAAAUUUAAGUAGAUUUUUACUUGCUUUAUUUUUGAUAAAAUUGUGAAUUAUUAUGGUAAAAUAUUUGAUUGAUGUGGUAAUGUUUAAUCUAAGGAAAAUAUAUUAUAAUUGUCCUCUUAAUUUAUUCCCUUCCUUUAGUGUUGUGCUCUCUCAUCUAUUAUAUGAGCAUGCCCCUUUUCAUUCUUUGGAUAGACUUCAACAUACACUCAUUCACUCUAAAUCACAAGUUCUCAUCACUCUUCAUUCUCAUUGCUCUGUUGCUACUCUAAAUACAUUAAGAUUUCGAUAAACAUUCAAGUGCUCUUCUUCGCUAUCUUGCUUUUUGCUUUUGUUCGAGUAAAGGUUGGAUCAACUUGCUUCUCAUUGCUACCAUUUCUAAUCUACUCAACCGUUAUUUGACUGCAUUAGCAGGUUUCAAACUUGAAGUUCAAGUUGAAGAUCAACCAUGAAGAAAGAUUUAUUUGUUUAUUUGAAUCUAGAUUUCUUUUUCUUAUUUUUAUCUAUUUGAAUGUUGUAACAUUUGUAACUCUAAAGAUCAUAUAUAUAAAUUUAUUUGGGGGGUCGUCUAGGGGAGGGGGAUUUACAUGCCUACUUGUUUAUUGUAAAUUUUUAGAAAUCAUGCCUAUAGGUUUGUCUUUAACCACCUAGAAUUAUUGUUUGUAGGUGUUAUAAUCCAAUCAAUUGUUUGAUGCUUUGUUAAUAAGUCUAAAAAAUAAUAACUAGAUUCCGUUAAUUUUUAAUGUUAAAAUCAAAUCAUAAUAAUUUAGUAGGCUGAUUAGGUGUUUUAAUAAUGUUAUAACUUUUAGCAUUGUCCUGUUUGUUCAUAUCAUUUAGAUUUACAAAAAUCAUGCAUAUGUGUUUUAUUUUUGAACACCUAGAAAUUCAUGUCUAUAGGCUUGUAAAUAACUUUUAACAUAUCCAUAAAAAUAAAAUUUGUUUGUGCAUAUUUGUGCCCUCCCCCCAAAAUUAGUUAAUAUUAUUUAAUUAGUAAUCCUAUUUGUCUUCUUGAAGAUUUCCGCAUUCAUGAUGCAAUAUGUUUUUUUUUAAUAAUGACACUAAAUUAGAAUCAUUUCAUGCAUUUAACAAAUUACUUGGCUUUUAAAUAUAUUUCAUAUCAAAACUUUGCAACAUAUUUUUCUUUAAAAAAAUCAUUAUUCAAUCUUUCUUUAAAACUUUGGAUUGAUUAUGACAUUGUUUAUUUUCAAAAAUAAAUUAUAAGCAUUAUCUCCUAACCUAUCGUUAGUGGGAAAGUCAAAGGAACUACGAGGUCUAGUUCCAAUUUUUAAACCCGACGUGUCCCCGAAAGUACCACCUACCCAUGAAUUUCAAAAGGAAUUAUGUGUGUUUAUGUGUAAAUAUUUAUGUUCCUACAUGUAAAUUAAAUCUUUUAAAUCAUUUUCAAAAACAUAAACUAUUUUUUAGAUCGACCUCAAAUCAAAAUUGUUUCUAUGGUGGAGGAGCGCGAUCAACAAUAUCGUGGCAUCAUCCCUAUAAAGAAACAAACAUUUAUAAAAAAAAAUAAAAAAUUCAUAUUCAAAACUUGCUCAAUUUUCAUAACUUUACUUUCUCACAUAUUAAUUGCUUAAUAUUUACAAAUUUUGUUUCUAACAUAGUCUCACAUGCUUAAUAAAAAUAAAACUUAAUUGUUUAUUUAUUGCUAUCACCUAGCCUUGCAUGCUCAAAUAAAUGAAAAAUAGUAUUAAUUGUUUUGUAUUUGUUAUCACUUAGCAAGAUUAAAUAAAUCAAAAAAAUGAAGUGACCUUGAUUGAUA